CCUACGGGUUGCAGCAGUGGGGAAUAUUGGACAAUGGGCGAAAGCCUGAUCUAGCAGUGCCGCGUGUGUGAAGAAGGUCUUCGGAUUGUAAAGCACUUUCGACGGGGACGAUGAUGACGGUACCCGUAGAAGAAGCCCCGGCUAAUUUCGUGCCAGCAGCCGCGGUAAUACGAAGGGGGCUAGCGUUGCUCGGAAUGACUGGGCGUAAAGGGCGCGUAGGCGGUUUAUGCGGUCAGAUGUGAAAUCCCCAGGCUUAACCUGGGAACUGCAUUUGAGACGCAUAGACUAGAGGUCGAGAGAGGGUUGUGGAAUUCACAGUGUAGAGGUAAAAUUCGUAGAUAUUGGGAAGAACACCGGUGGCGAAGGCGGCAACCUGGCUCGAUACUGACGCUGAGGCGCGAAAGCGUGGGGAGCAAACAGGAUUAGAUACCCUCGUAGUC
Molecule: ribosomal RNA, 440 nt
Filed under: uncultured bacterium
Lineage: Bacteria
Description: bacterial SSU rRNA
Rfam family: Bacterial small subunit ribosomal RNA
Source: RNAcentral